CGCCGCCACCUCGUGCCCCCUUCCACCGCACGCGCCUCUCUCACCAUCCACCGCACGCACCGCCGCCUCCUCCGCCAAAUCCACCACGCGCCGCCUCCUCCUCCUCUCCCACCGCGCGCAGCCCCCUCGGUCUCACCCACACCACCGCACGCCGCCGUCCACCCAAAUCGGUCGCCGCACCUCCACCAGCCGGCCGCCCACCCAAACCAUCCCCUCCUCCCCACCUCCGACUCGACCCAAUGCCUUCCCAUCUCCUCCGCCGACUCCCCAUCGCCUCCACCUCCGGUGCCUGCCUCCACCUCCUCUUCUGACAUUAAGGAAGUCCCCUUAUUCAGGUGCUUUCGUGAUGGAUUUGGAGGGGAACUUGUAGCCAUUAGUUGCUUAAAAGUCGAGGGUAACUAAUUGACCAGCAUUUGUUCUGUACUUUAACGAAUUUUACACCGAUUGCAACCAGAAUUUGUUUCGGGUGUUAGAAUUGGGAGAAUGACAAGGGAGGUAACCAUGAAUCUUAGAUCAACAAGUUUAGUGGUCCACUAUCGAUUUUUCUACAAUCAACCUACGUUGUUGACCAUCUACCCAGCAGGAGAUAUAAAAAACACAAUAGGUCAUAACCGGAAGGGCUACUGAAAUUGUUCUGCUAAAGGUGUAACUUGUCCCUGAAAUUGUCCAUUGAAGAUUUUUUGCUGAAAUUAUUUUUGAAUGAAGACCUGCUAAAGAUAUCACUUGUCCCAGAAACAGACCUAAUAAAGAUAUCACUUGUCCAUUGAAGUUAUCUCUGUAUUUAUAUUAUUUGGAAGAGAUGUCACUUACAGUUAAUGAAUGCUAAGAAUUAUUUGUACUCUUGUAUGGAUAUGCUCUAUGCAGAGGCAUGUAUAUAUUGCUCCUAGAUGCAACAUAAUUGUUACUCAUGAAUUUGUUAUUUCUGAAACUGUGGUAUGGAACCCUACAGUGCAAUAUUUUCUGCA
Molecule: long non-coding RNA, 965 nt
Organism: Oryza sativa Japonica Group (Japanese rice)
Lineage: Eukaryota; Viridiplantae; Streptophyta; Magnoliopsida; Poales; Poaceae
Source: RefSeq, a predicted model, not a curated record